Molecule: ribosomal RNA, 253 nt
Filed under: uncultured bacterium
Lineage: Bacteria
Description: partial 16S ribosomal RNA
Rfam family: Bacterial small subunit ribosomal RNA
Source: RNAcentral
GACAGAGGCCUCAAGCGUUAGGCGGAAUCACUGGGCUUAAAGCGUGUGUAGGCGGAUCGUUAAGUGUCUUGUGAAAUCCCACGGCUCACCCGUGGAACUGCUGGGCAUACUGGCGAUCUUGGGCCAACUAGGGGCAACUGGAACAAGCGGUGGAGCGGUGAAAUGCGUAGAUAUCGGAAGGAACACCAGUGGCGAAAGCGGCCACCUGGGUCUGACCUGACGCUGAGGUGCGAAAGCGUGGGGAGCAAACCGG